AACGAACGCUGGCGGCAGGCUUAACACAUGCAAGUCGAGCGCCCCGCAAGGGGAGCGGCCGACGGGUGAGUACCGCGUGGGAACGUACCUUUUGGUUCGGAACAACUCCGGGAAACUGGAGCUAAUACCGGAUAAGCCCUAACGGGGAAAGAUUUAUCGCCGAAAGAUCGGCCCGCGUCUGAUUAGCUAGUUGGUGAGGUAACGGCUCACCAAGGCGACGAUAAGUAGCUGGUCUGAGAGGAUGAUCAGCCACACUGGGGCUGAGACACGGCCCAGACUCCGACAGGAGGCAGCAGUGGGGAAGAUUAGACAAUGGGCGCAAGCCUGAUCCAGCCAUGCCGCGUGAGUGAUGAAGGCCUUAGGGUUGUAAAGCUCUUUUGUCCGGGAAGAUAAUGACUGUACCGGAAGAAUAAGCCCCGGCUAACUUCGUG
This 431-nucleotide ribosomal RNA is filed under the name uncultured bacterium. RNAcentral describes it as "partial 16S ribosomal RNA". It matches the Rfam family "Bacterial small subunit ribosomal RNA", at positions 29 to 507 of the family's 1533-position model. The record is from RNAcentral.